UACGGGGGGGGCAAGCGUUGUUCGGAAUUACUGGGCGUAAAGGGUUUGUAGGUGGCCCGCUAAGUCACACGUGAAAUCCCUCAGCUUAACUGGGGUACUGCGUGUGAGACUGGCAGGCUCGAGGGCAGGAGAGGAACGCGGAAUUCCAGGUGUAGCGGUGAAAUGCGUAGAUAUCUGGAGGAACACCGGUGGCGAAGGCGGCGUUCUGGACUGUCUCUGACACUGAAGAACGAAAGCCAGGGGAGCAAACGGG
RNAcentral lists this ribosomal RNA (253 nucleotides) under uncultured bacterium. RNAcentral describes it as "partial 16S ribosomal RNA". It matches the Rfam family "Bacterial small subunit ribosomal RNA", at positions 524 to 776 of the family's 1533-position model. The record is from RNAcentral.